AGAACGAACGCUGGCGGCAUGCCUAAUACAUGCAAGUCGAACGAACUCUUCGGAGUUAGUGGCGCACGGGUGCGUAACGCGUGGGAAUCUGCCCUUGGGUUCGGAAUAACAGUUGGAAACGACUGCUAAUACCGGAUGAUAUCGAAAGAUCAAAGAUUUAUCGCCCAGGGAUGAGCCCGCGUAGGAUUAGCUAGUUGGUGAGGUAAAGGCUCACCAAGGCGACGAUCCUUAGCUGGUCUGAGAGGAUGAUCAGCCACACUGGGACUGAGACACGGCCCAGACUCCUACGGGAGCAGCAGUAGGAAUAUUGGACAAUGGGCGACAAGCCUGAUCCAGCCAUCCCGCGUGUGCGAUGAAAGGCCCUUGGUUGUAAAGCUACUUU
RNAcentral lists this ribosomal RNA (382 nucleotides) under uncultured soil bacterium. Its description in RNAcentral is "bacterial SSU rRNA". It matches the Rfam family "Bacterial small subunit ribosomal RNA", at positions 26 to 436 of the family's 1533-position model. The record is from RNAcentral.